This 76-nucleotide transfer RNA is filed under the name Bacteroidetes bacterium QS_8_64_10. RNAcentral describes it as "tRNA-Ala". It matches the Rfam family "tRNA". From Rfam's summary of the family: Transfer RNA (tRNA) molecules are approximately 80 nucleotides in length. The record is from RNAcentral. Lineage: Bacteria; Pseudomonadati; Bacteroidota.
GGGGCCAUAGCUCAGCUGGUAGAGCGCGGCGAUCGCACCGCCGAGGUCGGGGGUUCGAAUCCCUCUGGCUCCACCA